CACCUGGCUCCCAUUGAGCUGGCCUAUAAAUAGAUUCCUCUGAGGGCCAGCUGUUGGGGUCAAAUGGCUGUCACACGCAUCAGAAGGGACAAGAUGGCGUCUCAUAAUCAGGUGCAGCUGCUUUGAUCCGCUGCCAGAAAGUUGCUCCUGUGCUAGCUGAACUUCAGCUGAGUUUUUCUGCUGAACUUUGAGCCAGUGGCCUCGCGGAGGCGUCAAGCGCCGGAUUGGUUUCCUCCAAUCGCAGGAAGAGAGGAGAGUCCAGACAAACAUGGAGCGGCGGGACCUUAACGAGCGGAAGGACAUUUCCUUUUGUUUCCUUCUCCAUUUCUUUGCCGCCGUGGUUCCAUCAGUUGGGAGUUAAAUCACAGCGUAGACGGUUUUCCUGGAAUCACCCUGGAGAUGUUCUGGUUGUUCGGUUUCGGACCGCAGCUGCAGGUGGGACAGCGGGAUCUUCAGAACCAGACUCCUCGGUUCUGACGCCGCUGCAACAAGAUAAACAUGGCUGCCCACACCAGCAUGGUCGCUUCUGUUGGUGAUCACCGUCUGAAAACUGAUGGCUGCUGGUUCGCUACCUUCCAUCCCUACAGGCCACAGAGCCUCUGAGCAAGGCACCAGGGGCCAAACCUUUCUUCCUUCCUCUCUCCUUUCCUUAAUCUUGUUGCUCUCCUCUGUCCUACGUCUCUUCCUGUCUUCCUCUUUUCACCUCGGCGUUUCGUUUCGCUGCUUCUGGCCGAUCAGAGGAGCCGUCGUUUCCUGUCGAGGAGCCGUCGUUUCCUGUCGAGGAGCCGUCGUUUUUUGGUGAAGAGCCGCCGUCUCCGGGCGAGGAGCCGUCGUUUUCUGUCGAGGAGCCGUCGUUUCCUGUCGAGGAGCCGUUGUUUUUUGUCGAGGAGCCGUCGUUUCCUGUCGAGGAGCCGGCGUUUCCUGUCGAGGAGCCGUCGUUUCCUGUCGAGGAGCCGGCGUUUCCUGUCGAGGAGCCGUCGUUUCCUGUCGAGGAGCCGUCGUUUCCUGUCGAGGAGCCGUCGUUUCCUGUCGAGGAGCCAUCGUUUCCGGCUGGUUUUUUUUCAGGACACUAAUUCCAGGCACAGGCAAGUUAUCAAGACCAUUUGCUGUGUUUGUCAGGAAAUGCGACACGUUACACAUUUAGUAACUCGUUGCAUUUUCUCCUAACUGGCGUUCAGGUAAAUCAUCUGAAAAGAGACUCUCCAACUUUGGAGUUCGGCCUUGGUUGCUCUUUUUAACGAACUAAUUUUCCCAAUAGGACCACAUAAAGAAACAUCUGUGAAGGCAGGAAAACUUUAGACAACAGAACUUCUUGUACAACAACCAAAGAGUUUUAGGACCAAACAUGAGCCAACAGUUUUACAGCUUCAUCAAUUUCUCAUUAUGAUGUGGUUGUGUUUGAGAUCUGUGAGAAGAACGGUUAACACCCUGCUGCAGUUUCUGACUCGAACUAAAUUACUUUUUUCUCCUGCAGGCUCACUCCAGUUACAUCUCAUUACUGUUAGCGUUUGGUCCCACGUUACAAAAAGCUGCGGACCUGCUGCUGUGAUUUAGCGCAUGGCGGCGGUUGCUCAGGGCGGUUAUUUUGUCACGUUUCGUUCGGCUCGGCGCUCACGCUGGGAGAAAGUGAGACUGAUCUCGACCUUUUCAGACAGGAACUUUGGCGCUCUGACAUAGACUGCGAAGACGAGUGCGGUUCCUGCAGAGAUCCGUCCUGCAGCCAUCCGCGUUUUAUGGCCAGUCUCUUGCACUUCCUGGUUUUCAUGCAGCGGGUCGAACAAAGUGCUGCGCCUGCUGAUCGAAGGAUAAAAAUAACUACAGCUGUGGGCGCUGGGAAAAACUUUCCCUGGUUCCCAAUCAUCAUAAAACUUCAACAUUCAACAAACAGAGUCAUUACAAAAAAUUAUUUCAUUUACUGAAAAGUGUUUUGUCGAAAACAGGUGAGAUCAUCCCUUAUUUCCAGGCGUAAUUAUAAAAUAAAAUAAAAAAAAUAAAUAAAGCCAUUUUCCAAAAGA
Molecule: long non-coding RNA, 2015 nt
Organism: Xiphophorus hellerii (green swordtail)
Lineage: Eukaryota; Metazoa; Chordata; Actinopteri; Cyprinodontiformes; Poeciliidae
Exons: 2
Source: RefSeq, a predicted model, not a curated record